GAGAGAGAGAGAGAGAGAGAGAGAGGAAAAAGGAAAGAAAGGAGAUGAAAACAGGGAGGAAGUUUGAGGGAAGAAGAAGGAUAGUUAGAGAAGGGAGAAAUAGAAAGAGAGAGAUGGAGAAAUAUACGUUGGCUAGGGAAAGGGGUGCUUUUGUUAGAGGGAGAAAGAAAUAGUGCUAGUGUACGAGAAGGGAAUCGGAUGGAACACGAAGCAUAGGAGGAGAUUUUGGUGGGGUCGAUAGUAGUUGCUCGAAUUGUCGAGAAUGCUGUUCGUAUAUAAGAAAGUGGAUAGCUAAGUAUUUACUCAAAAUAUCAAGAUAUACGUAUAUGUGUGCGUACGCGUGUGUGUGGGUGUUUUGUUUCAUUCCUUAGCUGCUGUCACAUGUUAUUGGUAAUGUUUAAAGAAUGCUGAUGUAUAAUUAUUCGGACUUAGUUACACAUUUUUUCUCUAUCUUAAUAAAUGCAUAAGUAGUACAUAUAUAUAUACACAUAUAUAUAUAUAUAUAUAUGAUCCAUUCCUCUAUAUGUAAAUCGUGGAAUAUUCCUUAGUAAUUCCGCAAAGGAAAAAAACAUUUGAUUCGAAUUUAAUCUAAUCCGCAUUCUACUCUGCAAAUCUAACCGCACAGUUUCAACGAACUACGACGAUGACUACGAUGACGACUACGACAACCAUGAACGUACAUCCCGAUGAGUCGGCUUAUCCGUUUUCGCGCGUCACUUCUAUACUUAGAUCUUAUACGUUUAUAAAACAGGGUACGACGAUGAGCGAGAGUCUUGUACAGGUGCUAUGAAUUGAGAAUGUCAUCAGCGACAGACUUCGGCACGCGUCAGAGUGUCUUUUCGAGUAAUGACAGUAUGACGAUUUACGCAAUCAAAAGUUUCUAAUGUUAAUAGUUAAAACGGGACAUGAGACUAAAUGUAUACACUUAGAUACAUAUCGGUCGAUUGCAAAAUAUUUAGCUAAACGUCAUUGAUUAGUCUUUACAAAUGAAUUCACAUAUAGAUACUUAUACAAUAGCAAUGAAAAUAUUUUUUCAUGAUAACAAUAGGAUUUCGUUAAAUCUCUAUUAUUAAAUUUUUUUUGCGUGAAUUAACGAAGAAGUGUAUAUUAAUUUCUCUGCAGUCGUUAAUCGCAUGAAAAAUGAAAUUAUUCACAAUCGUGUUAAUUAGUUUUAUAUAAAAGUAUUGUUCCAGUAUCAAGAUAAAUAUAUCUAAGAUUUUAUCAAUGUUGAUUAUUUGUACGUAAACACGAAUAGAGAUUGAAAUCAUAUUUACGAUAACGUUCUCGUUUAACGAAAUAAACAUGGCGCAAACGAGAAAAGAAUCGAAAUAAAAGGGUAAAACCAAGGAAAGGCGUCCACGUAUGUAACUUACAUUGAUAAUUUAUAUGUAUGCAUACAUACAUACAUACAUACAUAGAUACUUAGAUGCUUACGUAAGCAGGUAUGUACGUAGAUAAGAAAACACGUUUAUUCGAGAAACGACGUGUUUGAAGUUAGCUUACUCGGCAAGAGUACGAAUCGAAUGAGAUUCGCAUUACGUUUUCUUUUUUAUUUUUCUCUUUUUGUUCUUCUUCUCUUCUUUUUUUUUUAAGAGAGAGAGAGAGAGAGAGAGAGAGAGAGAGGAAGAAAGAGAGAGAAAACAACGAGAAUCAUUUCGAACAUUUUCGAAGACGAAACACACGUCGUAAUAUUUAAUCAUUGCCGUAGUUACGAUACUCGCAAUCGUGGGUCAGAAUUGCGGAAGUGAUUAUCGACGGCCGCGAAAAAAAGCAUGACGGUGGAACGAUCUGCGUUCAAGGUUCUCGCAAGUGCAUGUGUAUUCCUGUUGAAGAACUUCCCGACACUUUAGCCUAUAGCGAGUGUUAUUAUAUAACCUAUUGACCUUUAUCGCGUUCGCGUUAGAAUAUUUACUGUGAUGAUAAGCGAGAGAGGUAAAUCGUUUUACACAGUGUGCGAGAAAUAUAGAAAUAUUGAAGAAAUAUUACAUAUUGAUGAAUUCCUAAAUGAUAGGUUACAACUUAGCUUUCAUAAAUAUAUAUAUAUAUAUAUAUUUUUUUUUUCUUUUUAUAUCGUGAUGUUUGAUUACUUCGCAAAGAGCUAAUUCAUUGUCGAGUAUAUUCCACAUCACAUCGGUGAUAUAAGAAAAUUUUAAUGAAUCAUUAAGCUUCAAUAAAAAAAAAAAAAGAAAAAGGAAUGUAUAAAUAUUUAAUCAAAUGCGUUGCCUUUUGAAUAUACACCUACGUACAAAUCUAUUAAAGUUUUACAUGUACUACUAAUUGAUGUUUUGAUAUACGUAUCGAAAGAAGUCCUACGUUCAUUUGGACAAUCAAUUAAAAGAAAAGCAAUGAAGAUAACUGGCUUCGAUCAUAAAGCUAUUAAUCGAUCGUUAACACUAGACGAACUUUCGAUUCCUUUUCUUUCAACGCUUUAUUCGAUUGGUAGAUAAGGGAUGAAAGGUGUGGUUAAGAGAUUAAGGCGGUGGCGGUUUCCUGGCGAAUUCGAGAAAUAGGCCGUGAUGGUAGCGUGCACGAGCGCGCGCGCAUACACACACACACACACAUACAUUUUGCUGCCAACGGCAGUAACAGUAACAGCAGCAGUAGCAGCAGCAGCAGCAGCAGCAGCAGCAGCAGCAGCAGCAGCAGCAGCUAGCAGGAGGUAGGUCGAUCCAAUUGGGGUUCGGAUAGCAGCUCAGCAGCGCGAUACCCUCUCCCCUCUGGAGUUUCCGCGGCGAUCAAUACCUACGGUGCCAAAGCCGAGCCAGUCUCUACCGAUUUCCACGAGGAACAAACAAAACGAAGAGAAGGAGGAGGAGGAGGAAGAAGAAAAAGAAAAUGAAAAAGAAAAAAAAGAACGAAAGAUCCGAUGAAGAAAUAAUUGAUCGAUUCGCAUGUUUAAUCCAAAACAUUUAUUAUCGUAAUAAUUUACGAUGUAUUAAUCUUAAUCGAAAAUUAAAACAGUCUUUCUUUUUCUUUUUCCGGCUUUUCAAUGUCAUAGUUAUUAUAAAUCAAAACAAUUCGAUCAAAAUCAUGAAUUGGCAAUUGUGUGCGUGGGUGCGUGCAUCUGUCUGUGUGUUAAUGGUGAUAAUAAAAACGGUGUUAAAAGGCAUAAAGAAAAUCGAAUACACUUGGUUUCCGUCGAUACACGUUGGUUUUUCCCCUAAGCAACCGGAUCCACGCGUCUCCGUCUUGCGCACGCGUUGCGACAGCGCGUAAUUACGUCACGCGAUCGAACCUUCGUCGCUACGCGGGUUUACAUGUUUGAAAUCCCGCUAAGAAAAGAGAAGAAGAAAAGGAAGAUGGAAUAUAAGUACCUACUUAUAUAUCUAUGUAUGUAUGUAACGAAAGAGAGUGGCUUUCACAAUAAUCUUUCUUUUACUUCUGUAUCAUAGACGCAACACACCUAAGUAUCUUCUCUCGCCUACGCGUAUUUAAAAGCACUUAACAUUUCGAUUAGGCCAUAGGCAUGAUUUCGAAAAUAGUACGUCGCAUAAAUUAAUCUCCGAAUACAUAAAGUCGAAACAUCUGUUUUGUUUUAAGAUUCAAGAUGGUGGCGUAGGGAAAGAUUUCUCUUUCUUCCUUUUUUUUGUUUUAUUUAUUUUUUCUUUUUUUUUUUUUUUCUUCUUUUUUUCCUACAUAGACAACUCGAUCGAUUUAGAACCAACAAUAAGUCCAACUAGCUAGUUAGAAGAUCGAACGUGGAUUCUGUUAACGACGUCGCCGAAGUAAGAAAAUAGGUGUAUGGCCUACUCGCGAAUAGUUAGAAACAACGCGCUUAGGAACCACGAGAGAGCAUAGAUAUGCUUGAGAGGAGAGAGAAAGAGAGAGAGACAUAUAUACAUAAGCUUGGAGUGUUAGAGCAGACCCGUAGAGGGGAAGGAACAAAGAAAGAGUCCUAGCGACCAGCAAUGCGGCACCGGUGAGCGCCUGCGCGCCUCGCUAUGUGAGUCAAGGACGACACGUGCAGCUCGGAACGACCUACUUAUAUUCCCGUAGCUUCGCGCACAAUCGGUGUCGGCACGAACUUUCCCGAGCGCGGAAAUAGGACGACCGACGGAGGAGUCGGUGGAGUCCUAAUAUUUCACCGCGAUCACCUCCGCCUCCACCUUUCGCCUUUACCUCAUUCUCCUCCUCCUCCCCCUCCUCCUCCUCCUCCUCCUCCUCCUUCUCCUCUUCGUCGGGUUCUAAAAAACUAACCCAUAGCAGCAAGCGUUGGCAUUCAAUCUUAGUAGUACACUACAAUGUACUGAUCGUUACCUCGUAGUUUUACGUUCUUGUGAAUCAGGAAGUAGUUGAAGAGGAAGUACUUCCGGUCUUUCGUGAAUCUCUUUCGGGCAAGUUCGCUAUCCUUCGUUGUCUAUCUUCUCUCUCUCUUUCUCUCUCUCUCUCUCUCUCUCUCUCUCUCUCUCUCUCUCUCUCUCUGUACGAUCGAGAUCUACGUUACGUAAGUUAGAAUGUUAGAAGAAAAAAAAGAUAAGAAAAGAAAAGAAAAGAAAAACGUCCGCUCGUUAGAUUCUCGUAGGAGCUUCGAUUCGCGUCAUCAGAGACACGAUAAGAGGGAGAAACGGUUGUAGAGAGAUAGGAGGGAGUAGAGGGCGGGGAUGAGGGCAGAGGAGGGGGAGAGAGUUAAAACUGAAAGAAAAAGCAGGACAGGCGUGGGGUUGGCUAGAAUAGAGAGAAUAGAGAAGAGGCAUAUAGGAAUCGUGAUGGGGAGGGGGAGGGCGGCGGGCGGGUGGAGGGUGGGGAGGAUUCGAAAGAGAGGUUUCGACGGCAGGAGGCAUCGCGCGCAGUGUCCUAGAUGCAGAAACGGCAGGAUCGAUAGAAAAAUGGGUCAAACAUUCGAGUAGCAUUCGGUUGACGAGAACCAACGGCAGUCUGGCGAUCGCGCUCGAGACGAUCGCUCUGCUCCGUUAAAAUUCACUCUCUCUGUCUCUCUCUCUCUCUCUCCCUCACUCUCUUUCUAUAUCUCUCUAUCUCUGUCUCUACAUGACGGAUACAGGUGACCGUUGUAGGACGUUGAAACGAGUUCGUGUCGUUUGGAAUUGAAUUAAAUCUCUCGUUCGAAUAAAUUCCGUCGGAAGAAGAAGGAAAAGAUAAGGGAAAAAGAAAAGAAGAAAAUAAAAAAAAAAAAAAGAAAUAAAAAAAAUCGCAAAAUUCGCCGGCGUUUGUUACAAGGUGGGAGGGGGGGUCUAACUAAACUAGAAAGGUUUUAAGUCUUUGUGGAUUGGCGCGCUCGAGGCGACGUUGUUGGAUUGUCGCGCGUCGUUUACGCGCUUCCUUCCCCACCAUGAGAGCAUAAGUAGCGCGUUUCCGCACGCGGUACGGCCAGUUCUCGUUCGACCUUAUCGCCGCGAGCUCGGCACGGGCUUCUUGUUUCUCCUCCUUGGCGGGUUGCUGCCCCACCCUACGGUUUUAUAGUCCCACCCCCUCUCUUUUCUCUCUCUCUCAUUUCCCCGUUCCUCCCUCUUGCUCGGCUCUACCUCCCCACCCUCAUAUAUUCAGUCUCCCCCUUUUCCCCCGCCAUUCUGCCUUUCAUCUCUCCCACCUACGGUGACACUCGAAGGAAGCGCGCGUGCUCGUCGCGCGCGCCCAGCUCGACCAAUCGCGAAGCGAGUAGCAACGGUCCUCGACCAACGAAACUCGACCGCGGAUCCGUGCGAGUGCGCGCUUGCGAUCUCGUAGUUUCUCUCACCGGAUGCCGCGAGCGCGCGCUCAUUGUGGUGGGGAUAAAGCUGAGAGAGCGGCACGGGCUUCGCGCUCGAGCGCAUCCUCGUUCGUCGUCGCUCGCCCUCGGGGUCGGUCGCGUUCCGCGAGACUCUCUCUCUCUCUUCCCCCUUUUCCCUCUUUCCCUAUUUCCCUUUUAUAUUAUCUAUCCUUUCGUUAUUCCUUAUUUCAUUCCUUUCUUAUCUUCCAUUUUUUCCUUUCUACUUAACGUAGUUUUACCUUCUACGUUCAUUUCUACGUUCGAUUCUACAUUCGUUCAUUCGUUUGUUCGUUCGUACGCUCGCUCGUACGCUCGCUCGAUCGCUUGAUCGCUCGCUCGCUUGCUCGCUCGCUCGCUCGCUCGCUUGUUCGUUCGUUCGUUCGUUCGUUCGUUCGUUCGUUCGUUCGUUCGUUCGACGUCCGAUAACGUCGACGGCCAUCAUGGUGUGUCCAAUUCAGUUCGCGACAAUUCUUCAUUGCUUUCACCUUUCGGAAAAGCUCCUUCCUCCUCCUCUUCUUCUUCUUCAUCAUCAUUAUCAUAUCAUCGUCGUAGUCAUCAUCAUCAUCGUCAUUGUUCUCUUUUAUAUUCCUUUAUAUUUCAAUAAUUUUCGAUACGUUUCUUUUACUGUGUCGCCCGCAGCUAAAACAACAACGACGAUGACGAUGACGACGACGACGACGACGUGACCGGAAGCUCGCAACAACUUCGACUCGUUCGACCUCUUCUUCUCUCGAUCCGUGCGAGAACGGCGAUUAAUUCUCACUCGUGUUUUAUCUUCUUUUUCUUCAAGAAAAAACAAAGAGAGAGAGAGAGAGAGAGAAAAAAAAAUAUAAUUAACUUCCGCAUUCUGAAGAAUCCGUUACUGUUAAACGCGUCCGGGAUUUCUCGUCAUCUCGAGAGAUAUCGAAAGUGGGUCACCGGUUCUUCUUCCGCUUUCGCACGCUUUCGUUCUUUCGUCGAUCGAGUUGUUGUUCGAUUUAAUAUUUAUUUUUUUCUCAUUCUUUUUCGUGUUCUUUUUUCUUUGGUUUUCUUUCGUUUCUUUUUUCUCUUUUUUUUUCUUUUUUUUUCUUUUUUUUUUUUGCCAUCCCCUUUUUUUCGUUCUUUUAAUUUAUACGCGAAAAGAAGAGAAGAGAUACGACCGUACGUGUGAAAAAGUGAGUACGAGUUGAAAGUUUCUAUCGUGCGAGAAGAGACGAAUGUAAAUAAUAGUAAUAAAUAAAAAAUAAUCAUAAAAAUUAUAAUUAUCAUAAUAAUAAUAAUAAUAAUAAUAAUAAUAAUAAUAAUAAUAAUAAUAAUAAUAAUAAUCGUAAUAAUAAUAAAAGGGAAGGUAUCGAAAGGGGAAGAGACAGUUGCAAGAGGAGAAAAGCGGUUUGCACGCGAGGGGUUCGAGACCCUUUGUGUGAACGAAAAAAAGAUUGAAGAAGAAGAAGAAGAAGUAGAAGAGAAAGAAAAAGAAGAAGGAGCAAGUGAAAGGAAGAGAGAAGAAAAAUAAAAGGGUGGAAGGAGAAGUAAAGGGGGAAAAAUAAAAGUACCAGAAAGAAAGAAGGAAGGAAAGAAAGAAAGAAAGAAAGAAAGAAAGAAAGAAAGAAAGAAAGAAAGGGAAACCAUCGACAAUCCCACGUCGUGGUAACUUCGUGUCCGUGCCUUCUGGUCUCUUAGUGGGUAAAGAUGGCGGUCUUGUCGCUCGUUGGUUCGUUCGCCGAGUUGUAAGAGGGGAAAAUGUGACGCAACCCAUCAUCACGUGAUCGAACCGUGGCUGGCCUCUCUCGCUGGGCCAGUGUGUGAUCUAACGUUUGUUACGACGGUCGGUCGUGGAUCGAUCAUAUCGACCAUAAUACAUAAUAAGUAUAUUAUAUGAAGAACGAGAACAACUCUAGUAAGAUAAUGGUGGUUGGGAGUGCGAAAUAAUGGAAAGAAAGAAAGGAAGGAAUGAAGACACGGAGACUGGUCAACAUUAUCUGUCUUUCUCUGUUCCACAAGUCGAUGCCGCGAGACAUAACGGACGUCUUCUUAAUCCGCGUACGGACACACGCACGCACACGUACACACAGGGGGUGUUCUUCCAACCGUCGGCUCUCGGUCGCUGGGUCAGUGGGGGUGAGAAACUGGCUUGGCUCUGCGUAACGACAGUCAGUCUUUUUCUCUCUCCUAUCGGCCUCGCGAAUUAGCUCUCUCUUUCUCUUUCUUUCUUUCUACUCGUUUAUCUAUCUGUCUAUCUUAUUUUCAUAUCCAUCUAUCUAUUUAUCUGUCUAUCAUUCUAUCUAUCUAUCUACCUACCUAUCUCUCUCUUUCUCUCUCUCUCUCUCUCUCUCUCCGUCACUCCAAAGAAAUAACUCUCUUCGGAGCCAACGUAAGAAAGAAUCUUAAAAAUUGGAAAAUUGGUGAUCGUUUUUUAUUCCCAAAGAUACGGACAACAGUUGUUGUAGGUGUUCUCGGACUCAGCAGUGAGAGCCGUGUUCCCCCAGCUGUAACGUGCUUUGUUUUAGUGGCUCUGGGAUCAUGGAAGACACUGCGCGAGUACCGAACGUUCUGCGAUAUAUUGUACAAAUAUUUUAUCCUUCUAAGAUCAUGGACUCUUGCUAGUUUCCUCGAUGAUUAACAAAAGAUCAAAAACGAAAAAGAAAGAAAGGAAGAUUUUUGAGGAUCGUCAUAAAUACUUCGUCGUUAAUGUUACGUGCCUCAUGAAGUAGGACGUUUCAUCGAUUAGAUUUCUCCUAAUCGUUCUUUAUGUCAUGCAAUCGAAAUUUCAUAUGUGUGAUAUGAGAAACUGAAAAUGUAAAUAUAUCCAUACUCAUCGUGAGCAAACGUAUACGUGAUUAAAUCAAAGUCCAAAACGUUUGGAAAUGUUUGGUGUCGUUGGCAAUAUUGCACCUGCCACACGAAAUAUUGCCGAUGGCUCGAAACAACGGCACGGCAACAGCAUCGAGCAAGAACGGACCGCUUUUGCUGGUAUUAUAAUCGCCGUUGCAAGAUUCCCGACUAAACCGCCGUUCACCUCGACCAUUUUAUACUUUCUAAAGCCGCUUACUUUCGUAACUUGGCAAAUACCGUGGUGGCCUCGUUGUAUCUACCAUUGCCGAGUUCUACACAGUUAGCAUUUAUAUGUGUGUCCAAGUUGAAGUUUUUUUUCCCUUACUCUAUACUAGCGUACAGUAAUGCAUAAUUAACAUGCGUAAUACAUACGUAUACGAAGAAUUUGUUUUCCUUUUUUUCAUUUGUCGUUUCUUUUUUCUAUUUGUUUAAACGUUUUUUUCUACUUUUUUCUUCUUCUUUUUUUUUUUUUUUUUUUUUUUUUUUUUUUUUUUUUUUUUCUUUUUUUUUUUUUUUAAGGAAAAUCUAACGUUGCAUCGUUAUUAAUUUUUUUCCUCGAACGAUAGAUCAUCUGCGCUUAUUCAUAUCUCUUGCGCAAUGACUAUUGCGCUGUUGUAAUAUCACUUAACAAAGUACAUACGUUUCAAGAAUUCAUUUCAUCGAGAUAAUUGCAAUUAAAACGAUGAUUGUCAGAGAGAAGAGGAGGAGGAGAAAAAAAAAAGAAGAAGAAGAUAUAUGUAUCUACGUAAUUUUGUACAAUUCCAAGAAUAAUAGCGGUAGUUUAUAAUCGAUGACAUAGCAAACGUUUCUAAGAUAAUAACGAUCAUAUAAAAGUUACUUUAUAUAAAAGUAUUAAAUGAUAAAAGAAUAGAUAACGAUUAAAGUGGCGGGUAACUUUAUCUUAAUAGAAAAGGAGAGAGAGAGAGAAAGAUGAGAGGCUAACAGGACUAUGGAGGUAAGUUUGGAAAGUUACGGUUCGUCGUGAGUAAAAAAAAAUCAAACGAGCGGAGAGAAAGAUAGAAGUGUGUUAUGUAUCUACGUGCAUAUACAUGAGAAAUAGAGAGAGAGAGAGAGAGAGAGAGAGAGAGAGAGAGAGGUGUAUA
Vespa velutina is the source of this 9618-nucleotide long non-coding RNA. RefSeq lists it as uncharacterized. The transcript is spliced from 2 exons. The record is from RefSeq and is a predicted model, not a curated record. Lineage: Eukaryota; Metazoa; Arthropoda; Insecta; Hymenoptera; Vespidae.